GAUGAACGCUAGCUACAGGCUUAACACAUGCAAGUCGAGGGGAAACGACAUCGAAAGCUUGCUUUUGAUGGGCGUCGACCGGCGCACGGGUGAGUAACGCGUAUCCAACCUGCCCACCACUUGGGGAUAACCUUGCGAAAGUAAGACUAAUACCCAAUGACGUCUCUAGAAGACAUCUGAAAGGGAUUAAAGAUUUAUCGGUGAUGGAUGGGGAUGCGUCUGAUUAGCUUGUUGGCGGGGUAACGGCCCACCAAGGCGACGAUCAGUAGGGGUUCUGAGAGGAAGGUCCCCCACAUUGGAACUGAGACACGGUCCAAACUCCUACGGGAGGCAGCAGUGAGGAAUAUUGGUCAAUGGACGGGAGUCUGAACCAGCCAAGUAGCGUGCAGGAUGACGGCCCUAUGGGUUGUAAACUGCUUUUAUAGGGGGAUAAAGUGUGCCACGUGUGGCAUAUUGCAGGUACCCUAUGAAUAAGGACCGGCUAAUUCCGUG
Molecule: ribosomal RNA, 492 nt
Filed under: uncultured bacterium
Lineage: Bacteria
Description: bacterial SSU rRNA
Rfam family: Bacterial small subunit ribosomal RNA
Source: RNAcentral